RNAcentral lists this ribosomal RNA (137 nucleotides) under Danio rerio (zebrafish). Lineage: Eukaryota; Metazoa; Chordata; Actinopteri; Cypriniformes; Danionidae. The record is from RNAcentral.
CUUCCAGUUAAUGGUACCAGCCAACAGCUAGCUCUCUGCAGUUCUCAUAUGGUUGCCCCCUGAAGCGAAGUGUGGUUGUUCCUGGUUAGUACCUGGAGGGAGACCGCAUGGGGAAAAACUAGGUUGCAACUGGAAGA